This is a transfer RNA of Toxocara canis (dog roundworm), 72 nucleotides long. It matches the Rfam family "tRNA". From Rfam's summary of the family: Transfer RNA (tRNA) molecules are approximately 80 nucleotides in length. Their secondary structure includes four short double-helical elements and three loops (D, anti-codon, and T loops). The record is from Rfam. Lineage: Eukaryota; Metazoa; Nematoda; Chromadorea; Rhabditida; Toxocaridae.
GUGGCGAUAGCUCUGUGGUAGAGCUUCCGCCUUCUAGGCGGGAAGACCUGGGUUCGAUUGCCGGAUGCUUUU